This 506-nucleotide ribosomal RNA is filed under the name uncultured bacterium. RNAcentral's name for it is "partial 16S ribosomal RNA". The stretch from base 20 to 365 matches the Rfam family "Bacterial small subunit ribosomal RNA", at positions 47 to 391 of the family's 1533-position model. The record is from RNAcentral.
GACGAACGCUGGCGGCGUGCUUAACACAUGCAAGUCGAACGGAAAGGCCCUGCUUUUGUGGGGUGCUCGAGUGGCGAACGGGUGAGUAACACGUGAGUAACCUGCCCUUGACUUUGGGAUAACUUCAGGAAACUGGGGCUAAUACCGGAUAGGAGCUCCUGCUGCAUGGUGGGGGUUGGAAAGUUUCGGCGGUUGGGGAUGGACUCGCGGCUUAUCAGCUUGUUGGUGGGGUAGUGGCUUACCAAGGCUUUGACGGGUAGCCGGCCUGAGAGGGUGACCGGACACGUAGGAAGCAGUAUGCGGGAAAGUGCAAUAGGGGGGGAGGGGGUGGGUAAUAUAGCAAAAGGGGCGGAGACCUGAUCAAGAGAGGGCGGGGGGGGGAGGCCGUCGUUGGGAUUGGAACACGACCUAGCAAGAGACGAAGGGGAGGUGAUGGGAAGGGGCAAGAAAACACCCCAUAGCUAGGGGACAGAAGCCGCAUAAGGAUCAGCGACAAACGUCUGAAC